UUAUGACACGAUAAACAUCCACCAUUUGCAACUCAUCCAAUUCGAUGGUUAAGAAAUGAAUAGAAUGUCCUCACUGUCAAUGGUCACACUCCACGGACAUUUAAUACCAUCGGACACCAGAUAUCUAAGGAAUCUAUCACGUGUAUUAUGAUGGAAGCUAUGAUAAUGUUGAAAUGUGAAUCCCAACAGAAAUCUGCUGGACAAGAGGAAUGAGAAUAGGAUACGCGAUAUUUCCCAUACCUAUCAACCACAGUUACCACAGGGUCAUGGCGUUCGGAAAAUCAUACUCAAACACACAAAUAUAUUUCUUUCCAUUUAUAGAAAUACCUUGCGUUGUACUAUACAUCUGAUUUCCUUGGUCAUUAUACUCAAUUAGUAAAAGUCUUUUCCCU
Long non-coding RNA from Saccostrea echinata, 392 nucleotides. RefSeq lists it as uncharacterized. The record is from RefSeq and is a predicted model, not a curated record. The transcript is spliced from 2 exons. NCBI's taxonomy places the organism in Eukaryota, Metazoa, Mollusca, Bivalvia, Ostreida, Ostreidae.